GCGCCAGUAGCUCAGCUGGAUAGAGUGUUUGACUACGAAUCAAAAGGUCGGGGGUUCGAGUCCCUCCUGGCGCGCCA
This 77-nucleotide transfer RNA is filed under the name Bacillota bacterium. RNAcentral's name for it is "Firmicutes bacterium (gut metagenome) tRNA-Arg". It matches the Rfam family "tRNA". From Rfam's summary of the family: Transfer RNA (tRNA) molecules are approximately 80 nucleotides in length. Their secondary structure includes four short double-helical elements and three loops (D, anti-codon, and T loops). The record is from RNAcentral. Lineage: Bacteria; Bacillati; Bacillota.